Molecule: ribosomal RNA, 497 nt
Filed under: uncultured bacterium
Lineage: Bacteria
Description: partial 16S ribosomal RNA
Rfam family: Bacterial small subunit ribosomal RNA
Source: RNAcentral
GACGAACGCUGGCGGCGUGCCUAAUACAUGCAAGUUGAGCGCUGAAGGUUGGUACUUGUACCAACUGGAUGAGCAGCGAACGGGUGAGUAACGCGUGGGGAAUCUGCCUUUGAGCGGGGGACAACAUUUGGAAACGAAUGCUAAUACCGCAUAAAAACUUUAAACACAAGUUUUAAGUUUGAAAGAUGCAAUUGCAUCACUCAAAGAUGAUCCCGCGUUGUAUUAGCUAGUUGGUGAGGUAAAGGCUCACCAAGGCGAUGAUACAUAGCCGACCUGAGAGGGUGAUAGGCCACAUUGGGACUGAGACACGGCCCAAACUCCUACGGGAGGCAGCAGUAGGGAAUCUUCGGCAAUGGACGAAAGUCUGACCGAGCAACGCCGCGGGAGUGAAGAAGGUUUUCGGAUCGUAAAACUCGGUUGGUAGAGAAGAACGUUGGUGAGAGUGGAAAGCUCAUCAAGUGACGGUAACUACCCAGAAAGGGACGGCUAACUACGUG